AUUGAACGCUGGCGGCAUGCCUUACACAUGCAAGUCGAACGGUAACAGGUCUUCGGAUGCUGACGAGUGGCGAACGGGUGAGUAAUACAUCGGAACGUGCCUAGUAGUGGGGGAUAACUACUCGAAAGAGUGGCUAAUACCGCAUGAGAUCUACGGAUGAAAGCAGGGGAUCGCAGGACCUUGUGCUACUAGAGCGGCCGAUGGCAGAUUAGGUAGGUGGGGGGAUAAAAGCUUACCAAGCCGACGAUCUGUAGCUGGUCUGAGAGGACGAUCGGCCACACUGGGACUGAGACACGGCCCAGACUCCUACGGGAGGCAGCAGUGGGGAAUUUUGGACAAUGGGCGCAAGCCUGAUCCAGCAAUGCCGCGUGCAGGAUGAAGGCCUUCGGGUUGUAAACUGCUUUUGUACGGAACGAAAAGCCCCGGGUUAAUACCCUGGGGUCAUGACGGUACCGUAAGAAUAAGCACCGGCUAACUACGUGCCAGCAGCCGCAGUAA
Molecule: ribosomal RNA, 498 nt
Filed under: uncultured bacterium
Lineage: Bacteria
Description: partial 16S ribosomal RNA
Rfam family: Bacterial small subunit ribosomal RNA
Source: RNAcentral